This 27-nucleotide small RNA is filed under the name Bombyx mori (domestic silkworm). RNAcentral's name for it is "ovarian small RNA-17592". The record is from RNAcentral. Lineage: Eukaryota; Metazoa; Arthropoda; Insecta; Lepidoptera; Bombycidae.
GGUUGUGUUGUACUCAGCUGAUGCGGC